Molecule: ribosomal RNA, 439 nt
Filed under: uncultured Clostridium sp.
Lineage: Bacteria; Bacillati; Bacillota; Clostridia; Eubacteriales; Clostridiaceae
Description: bacterial SSU rRNA
Rfam family: Bacterial small subunit ribosomal RNA
Source: RNAcentral
CCUACGGGGGGCUGCAGUGGGGAAUAUUGCACAAUGGAGGAAACUCUGAUGCAGCGACGCCGCGUGAGCGAUGAAGGAAUUCGUUUCGUAAAGCUCUGUCCUAGGGGACGAUAAUGACGGUACCCUAGGAGGAAGCCCCGGCUAACUACGUGCCAGCAGCCGCGGUAAUACGUAGGGGGCGAGCGUUGUCCGGAAUUAUUGGGCGUAAAGGGUACGCAGGCGGCCAUGUAAGUCAGAUGUGAAAGAUCACGGCUUAACCGUGGUAAGCAUUUGAAACUGCUUGGCUUGAGUUAAGGAGAGGAAAGUGGAAUUCCUAGUGUAGCGGUGAAAUGCGUAGAUAUUAGGAAGAAUAUCAGUGGCGAAGGCGACUUUCUGGACUUAUACUGACGCUGAGGUACGAAAGCGUGGGGAGCAAACAGGAUUAGAUACCCCAGUAGUC